UACGUAGGGUGCAAGCGUUGUCCGGAAUUAUUGGGCGUAAAGAGCUCGUAGGCGGUCUGUCGCGUCUGCUGUGAAAACUCAGGGCUUAACCCUGAGCUUGCAGUGGGUACGGGCAGACUAGAGUGCGGUAGGGGAGACUGGAAUUCCUGGUGUAGCGGUGAAAUGCGCAGAUAUCAGGAGGAACACCGGUGGCGAAGGCGGGUCUCUGGGCCGUAACUGACGCUGAGUGAGCGAAAGCCAGGGGAGCAAACGGG
RNAcentral lists this ribosomal RNA (254 nucleotides) under uncultured bacterium. RNAcentral's name for it is "partial 16S ribosomal RNA". It matches the Rfam family "Bacterial small subunit ribosomal RNA", at positions 524 to 776 of the family's 1533-position model. The record is from RNAcentral.